CAAGGUCCAAUAAUUUUGCACCACGUAAUGCAAUAUGGCAAUACACCCUAUAUAUGUAUCAGGAUUGUUAAAAUUAUUUCGUUUAUAUAAAGAAAUCUGUAAAUUGUGAUAUACAUUCAGUGCAAGAGUGAUUUAUGUGAAAAUAAAAAAUAAAAAAAUUGUAAAGUUUAAAAAAAAAAACAUUUCCUUCAAAAUAUUGAGACAAGACAUAGUACGUACACAUUAAGAAGCAUUAUAUUUAUUAUUAUUUAUUUCUGCCACCCUGUUUCAGUAAAUAUAGUCAAUUCACACGAGUUAAAAAGGAAAAGGGUUAUCUUGAAAUUUACAAUUUAAAAAAAAAUAGAAAAAUUCGAAAACAGUAUGUUAAAGCGAUAACAGGCUCAGAUCUGUUGUUGAAUCGGAGAAGAGAAUCGACCUCGCCAUGGCUGCAGAAUUACAGGUUGCAUAUGAAAAGGAAAAUCCAAAUUCACAUACCAUCCAGAUCGCCACGCCAAGAUACGGGUCGAAUUAUCUGAACCUCCGAUCUAUAAGCUUGGAAGAUUUAAGAAACAUCAUCAUAGCCUAUUAUUCGAGGAUCAAACUGGUAACCACACAUUCCUUCGGACCUCAAAAUCACUUCCAAACAAGCUCUCUAAGUGUAUGUUUGUCUUUCGAUAUAACGGUUGUCAAACAGGAGCUAAAUUAAACCAUUUAUAAAUAGUUUCCAAACGGAGGAUGAAAUAUAAAAACGUAAAAGGCCUCGUAAUAGGAAACCAUAGGAAAUUUUCUGUAUGAAGGGCUGUUGAUUUUGGUUCAAAAUCAUUGGCCGUACAGAGAGGGGUAACCACCCUUAAAGAAUUCCCAGUCUCUCUGUAAACCUCAUUCUUCUCU
This 870-nucleotide long non-coding RNA is filed under the name Olea europaea subsp. europaea. The record is from RNAcentral. Lineage: Eukaryota; Viridiplantae; Streptophyta; Magnoliopsida; Lamiales; Oleaceae.